GACGAACGCUGGCGGCGUGCUUAACACAUGCAAGUCGAACGGAAAGGCCCUGCUUUUGUGGUGGUCUCGAGUGGCGAACGGGUGAUUAACACGUGAGUAACCUGCCCUUGACUUUGGGAUAACUUCAGGAAACUGGGGCUAAUACCGGAUAGGAGCUCCUGCUGCAUGGUGGGGGUUGGAAAGUUUCGGCGGUUGGGGAUGGACUCGCGGCUUAUCAGCUUGUUGGUGGGGUAGUGGCUUACCAAGGCUUUGACGGGUAGCCGGCCUGAGAGGGUGACCGGCCACAUUGGGACUGAGAUACGGCCCAGACUCCUACGGGAGGCAGCAGUGGGGAAUAUUGCACAAUGGGCGGAAGCCUGAUGCAGCAACGCCGCGUGCGGGAUGACGGCCUUCGGGUUGUAAACCGCUUUCGCCUGUGACGAAGCGUGAGUGACGGUAAUGGGUAAAGAAGCACCGGCUAACUACGUG
Molecule: ribosomal RNA, 468 nt
Filed under: uncultured bacterium
Lineage: Bacteria
Description: partial 16S ribosomal RNA
Rfam family: Bacterial small subunit ribosomal RNA
Source: RNAcentral